GGCGGCAUGCCUUACACAUGCAAGUCGAACGGCAGCACGGGGGGUAACCCCUGGUGGCGAGUGGCGAACGGGUGAGUAAUAUAUCGGAACGUGCCCUGUAGCGGGGGAUAACCUAUCGAAAGAUGGACUAAUACCGCAUACGCUCUACGGAGGAAAGCGGGGGUCGCAAGACCUCGCACUAUAGGAGCGGCCGAUAUCGGAUUAGCUAGUUGGCGGGGUAAAAGCCCACCAAGGCGACGAUCCGUAGCUGGUCUGAGAGGAUGAUCAGCCACACUGGAACUGAGACACGGUCCAGACUCCUACGGGAGGCAGCAGUGGGGAAUUUUGGACAAUGGGCGCAAGCCCGAUCCAGCCAUGCCGCGUGAGUGAAGAAGGCCUUCGGGUUGUNAAGCUCUUUCGGCAGGAACGAAAUGGUUCGUGCUAAUACCACGGACUGAUGACGGUACCUGAAGAANAAGCACCGGCUAACUACGU
RNAcentral lists this ribosomal RNA (474 nucleotides) under uncultured beta proteobacterium. RNAcentral's name for it is "bacterial SSU rRNA". It matches the Rfam family "Bacterial small subunit ribosomal RNA", at positions 38 to 506 of the family's 1533-position model. Lineage: Bacteria; Pseudomonadati; Pseudomonadota; Betaproteobacteria. The record is from RNAcentral.